Molecule: long non-coding RNA, 365 nt
Organism: Catharus ustulatus (Swainson's thrush)
Lineage: Eukaryota; Metazoa; Chordata; Aves; Passeriformes; Turdidae
Exons: 3
Source: RefSeq, a predicted model, not a curated record
CCCAGCCCCGGCGCCCCCGCAGGCGGGCGGGCGGGCGGCAGCUCCGCGCGGCGGUACCUGCGCUGGAAGUCGGUCCGGAAGGGCGCCAGUGUGCUUCUAAGUUCUGAGCUUGGCAGUCUUCCUGAUGCAGACAAGAGAUGCUUUAUAAGUCAUCACAAGAGGCCUUCACAAGAAGAACAGUGAUGUUUAUGUUGAGGGGUUCUAAUUCCUCAGCUUUGACACUCCUGCAGCUGUCUCCUCAGCAGCUCUGUGUUGUCAUCUGAUUGAACACAUGCUCAAGGAACACUUACAAAGGGAGCUGAGUCAUCCUCUAAAUCUGGACCAUCAUCGUCUGAACACAAAACCUUCCUCUGCAGGACUUAAGG